CUUACCUAAUUUCCUAAAAGAAAAGUUACCUUAAAAGCGAUAAUUUCUUUCUUUUUUUCUAUCUACUAUUAUCUCCCUUUCAUUGUCAAUCCUUUGGGGACAUGAUCGAUCGAGGAGGAAUAUAGAGUAGUUGUGUCAUUCUGAGGUCAGGUAAAGAGAAAGGGAUAACAAUGAAAGAGAGGAAGAACUAGGAUGGUGAUGCAAUGGCCUUAUGGCGGAUUCUUUUCUAUGAUAAAGAAUGCUAGUUGAGCCAAACAAUAGGAGUAGACAUUAGCUUGCAGAUCGAGUCAUUGAAGCUAUCAAAUCAAAGAAUCAGUACAUGUAGUAGGAGCAAAUCCAACGUGUGUGGGGGCUUAAGCCCCUACCUACCUAAGAGAGAUAGAGAAGGAGAGAAGAGAAGACAAGAGAGAGGAAGAGAGAAGGGCUAAAGGAAGAAAAAGUGAAAUGAGCACCCCAACACCCCUUUA
Molecule: long non-coding RNA, 467 nt
Filed under: Sorghum bicolor (sorghum)
Lineage: Eukaryota; Viridiplantae; Streptophyta; Magnoliopsida; Poales; Poaceae
Description: long non-coding RNA (SBIC_LNC001779)
Source: RNAcentral